Molecule: long non-coding RNA, 1035 nt
Filed under: Oncorhynchus mykiss (rainbow trout)
Lineage: Eukaryota; Metazoa; Chordata; Actinopteri; Salmoniformes; Salmonidae
Description: lncRNA (ENSOMYG00000073508.1)
Source: RNAcentral
AUGCUUAACACGCCGGCAGUCCUACAAUCUAAGCUGGAUGCCCUCAAUCUCACACAAAUCAUUAAGGAACCCACCAGGUACAACCCUAAAUCUGUAAACAUGGGCACCCUCAUUGACAUUAUCCUGACCAACUUGCCCUCCAAAUACACCUCUGCUGUUUUCCAUCAGGAUCUCAGCGAUCACUGCCUCAUUUCCUGUAUCCGCUAUGGGUCUGCGGUCAAACGACCAUCCCUCAUCACUGUCAAACACUCCCUAAAACACUUAUGCGAGCAGGCCUUUCUAAUCGACCUAUCCUGGAAGGAUAUUGACCUCAUCCCGUCAGUCGAGGAUGCCUGGUCGUUCUUUAAAAGUAAUAUCCUCACCAUCUUAGAUAAGCAUUUAAAAAAAUGCAGAACUAAGAACAGAUGUAGCCCUUGGUUCACUCCAGACCUGACUGCCCUUGACCAGCACAAAAACAUACUGUGGCGGACUGCAAUAGCAUCGAAUAGUCCCUGCGAUAUGCAACUGUUCAGGGAAGUCAGGAACCAAUACACGCAGUCAGUCAGGAAAGCAAAGGCUAGUAUUUUCAAGCAGAAAUUUGCAUCCUGUAGCUCUAACUUCAAACAGUUUUGGGACACUGUAAAGUCCAUGGAGAACAAGAGCACCUCCUCCCAGCUGCCCACUGCACUGAGGCUAGGUAACACGGUCACCACCGAUAAAUCCACGAUAAUCGAAAAUUUCGAUAAGCAUUUCUCUACAGCUGGCCAUGCCUUCCUCCUGGAAACUCCAACCCCCGCCCGCAGCUACUCGCCCGAGCCUCCCCAGCUUCUCCUUCACCCAAAUCCAGACAGCAGAUGUUCUGAAAGAGCUGCAAAACCUGGACCCAUACAAAUCAGCUGGGCUAGACAACCUGGACCCUCUCUUUCUAAAACUAUCCGCCGCCAUUGUUGCAACCCCUAUUACCAACUUGUCCAACCUCUUUCGUAUCGUCCGAGAUCCCUAAAGAUUGGAAAGCUGCCGCGGUCAUCCCCCUCUUCAAAGGGGGUGGCAUUCUAG